This 649-nucleotide long non-coding RNA is filed under the name Sinocyclocheilus anshuiensis. Its description in RNAcentral is "lncRNA (ENSSANG00000011791.1)". The record is from RNAcentral. Lineage: Eukaryota; Metazoa; Chordata; Actinopteri; Cypriniformes; Cyprinidae.
GCGCACUUGUUGAGUUUGGGAACUUUCAGAGGCUUGAACUUCUCACUUUGGACGCAGCGGAGCUCUCACAUCAUCAUCAUCAUCAGAUUCAGGCGACGUGGAUUUAUGCUGACUUUUUACGUGUAGGACUAUGUUUUGCUUUGUCGAAGUUGAUGUGGAUUGUCUUUAGUGUUUUCCGCGUUAGACGCACACAGCGUGCGCGAGUAAUAAAUAACAUAACUGUGAGGAUGUGGAUGCGCCUUUAAUGCAUAUACAGAUUCAUAUCUGAAGGAGAGUUAGUGUUUGUGGGGCUAUUGGGAUAUGGGACUAUUUAUGCACUACCAUUGGAUUUUAAAUGCUCUCUAAAGGGACACUCGGUGGUGCAGUGAAUGGAGAACAUCGCAGCUUUGCCAAGAUGCAUCAUCAGCCCAAAUCCGAUGGGACGCCACAGCAUGCUGUCAUCUGUUCAGAUAGAGUGACAUUUGUCUGGAAUCUGCACAAUCCUGAUCUCACCCUCUGACGGGACACCCACGGACCCUUCGCAGACUUUCUGAUGCAUAUUACAAUUGCAAAUCGCUUUGCCUGAUAGAGUUUCUGAGGAACAACUAACCUGGUUAGUGGCAUUAGGUCUUUGGAAGAUAUAAUGCUUUUGCAUCUAAAUGAGAGAGAG